UCUGAAGCAUCGAAAAUUGUGUAAUUUUGUAGCCAUUGAUGAGUCGAGGAGUGUGAAAUUUUGUAUAAGAAAUGGGGAACAGAGGCCAUACUCAGUACAGAACGACAAGGAGGACAUCCAAUUUCUCAAUUACUCUCUACAUUUUCCUCUUUUUUGUUUUGUCAAUGUUCGUAUUCUUUUAUUACACUAAGGAUAUCGUAG
Molecule: unclassified non-coding RNA, 201 nt
Filed under: Hevea brasiliensis (rubber tree)
Lineage: Eukaryota; Viridiplantae; Streptophyta; Magnoliopsida; Malpighiales; Euphorbiaceae
Source: RNAcentral